Molecule: ribosomal RNA, 566 nt
Filed under: uncultured archaeon
Lineage: Archaea
Description: bacterial SSU rRNA
Rfam family: Archaeal small subunit ribosomal RNA
Source: RNAcentral
CGCGAAUCGCCCUUGGGGUGCACCAGGCGCGAAAACUUUACAAUGCGGGAAACCGUGAUAAGGGGACACCGAGUGCCAGCAUCAUAUGCUGGCUGUCCAGGUGUGUAAAAUACACCUGUCAGCAAGGGCCGGGCAAGACCGGUGCCAGCCGCCGCGGUAACACCGGCGGCCCGAGUGGUGAUCGUGAUUAUUGGGUCUAAAGGGUCCGUAGCCGGUUUGGUCAGUCCUCCGGGAAAUCUGACGGCUCAACCGUUAGGCUUUCGGGGGAUACUGCCAGGCUUGGAACCGGGAGAGGUAAGAGGUACUACAGGGGUAGGAGUGAAAUCUUGUAAUCCCUGUGAGACCACCUGUGGCGAAGGCGUCUUACCAGAACGGGUUCGACGGUGAGGGACGAAAGCUGGGGGCACGAACCGGAUUAGAUACCCGGGUAGUCCCAGCCGUAAACGAUGCUCGCUAGGUGUCAGGCAUGGCGCGACCGUGUCUGGUGCCGCAGGGAAGCCGUGAAGCGAGCCACCUGGGAAGUACGGCCGCAAGGCUGAAACUUAAAGGAAUUGGCGGGGGAGCAC